RNAcentral lists this long non-coding RNA (566 nucleotides) under Felis catus (domestic cat). RNAcentral describes it as "lncRNA (ENSFCAG00000052655.1)". The record is from RNAcentral. Lineage: Eukaryota; Metazoa; Chordata; Mammalia; Carnivora; Felidae.
GUUAAGGGAGGAAGUCCCUAGCUUCAUGAUGGUCAUCAUUAUCUAAGAUGUACACACUGAAACAGCCUCUCAACUGCCUUACCAUUUUUGUUUCGUGCAAGUAAUCACAGCAUAUGCAUGCUCUGACAAGCCAUCACCAUGUUUCACUCUUUUUUAGCUACUUCCUUGCCACUCCUAGACCACAGGAGACAUAUAACUACACUGGAACUUUGAGGCUAUGCCAAGCCCACCUGCCAACAUUGCCAUCUUUUCCAUAUAGCAGCUGCCAGGAACUCCACAGAGAAGAUGAGCAAUUUGUCCCUCUAUCUCUGAGCCAGGCUCACCACUCCACUUUGUUCCUCCGAGUGAAUAUGUCAGGUGCUACCUUGUUAUUUCACCUUUUACCUGCUCCACUUGGUUUUGAUGAGUGGUGCAACCUUGAGGAAUGAUAUUCAGAGUGUGGGGGUUUGAUGAUCAGGAAAAACAAACAAACAAAAAAACAUAAAAACACUGAGAUUUCUUCACUUCUUUUGAUUGCUGCAGCAACUUGGACUUAAAGAAAUAAAAUAGCCUAUGACAUAAAUCCA